UUAAAAUUCAAUAUUUAAAUUAUUUUUAUCUUCAUCAUCCUUAUCAGCAACACCGCCAUCGACAUCAGUAUUAUCAUCAUUACCAACAUUCCAUCAUGAUGUCUUCCGAAUCGCCAUAGGCCUAAACAUUUUUAUAAUCAUAAUAAUCACCAGUUGGUGGAUAUAAUAUGAAUUAUUAUGCAACGAAAACAUUCUUAUGUCUGGUGCAUAGUUCUAAUAAUUUGUUGUUCAACUCAAUUAAGCUUUUAAUUUUUUGUCUUAUUCAAUAGGUUGAAAAUGACCAGGGAUGCCAUAUUUCUAAGAAACUUUAUUAUGCAAUGACUUUCAAAAUAAAUCAGAUUUUUCUAAAAUGAUUUCUAGGGAACAAAGUACAUUUUUCUUGUCAAAUCACUCGCUCUAUUCAUCUGUGUUUCAAUCAAUCACAAAAUCCAAGUAAUAAGAUGAGACAUAUUUUUUGGUUAUUUUAAUGACUUUGAUGAGUUCUCGAAGUUGUAAUCGAUCAGAAGAUGGGAUAUUUCACCCGUCCUACUUCUCUGUCUUCACAUCAAUUUUCCUAAUAGUGUGAAGAAAGAGUGAGCGCUGGUCUAUGCGAUUGGUGAUUAUCAUACGACUAAUGAUAGACUGCGAUAUAUUCACCGAUGAAAAACAACGCGCGAUUUCGAAUUGAGAAUAUUAGCGGCGGUACAAAAGAAAAUUUCUUAAUAAUGAAAAUUAUAUGAAAAAAAAAAUCACCAGACAGGUAUGAAAUCCAAAAACAGCAAUCUGCAGAUUUAAGAUUGAGGCGGCUACUGUUUCAUGUUCUGCCGCCUAUAUAAAAUUAAAUAGUAAUGUUUCGAUCGUUUGCAACAUAACAUUCCUUAGCUUGUUAGAAAAUAAAGUUUGGAGUUUCCUUUCAUUGUUCAAAAACUAGUAGCGAUGCAUACAUAGUUCGUUGAAAAGUCGAUUUGUUGGAUUGCGAUUAUUUUAAAGUAUUUUCAGUGUGUUUGUAUUUAUAUUUAACUGUUUGCUUUCAUUUUUUUCGUUGUAGUGGUAAAGCGUAUGUUUAUUUAUCUUGGACUAUCAGUGUUUGCCGGCACAUUAUUGAAUUUAAUUCACCAUCAAAUUUACUCUCUAAUAUGCUUUAUCAAUACACCGUCAGGUUAGAGCCUUAAUCAACACGUCAUAUCUGUGAAGCAGUUUGAUGUCGUGGCCUAAAAUAAGUGUUCGGAUUACGGAUGAAGUGUAGAGAGAUUCAUAGAGUUUGAUUUAGGUUUUACAUGAACACCCUUUCAAUUGACAAAGACUCAGCUUACUUAAUAUCGAAGUUUUGAGGGUAGAUUAUGGGAUCAGACCUUAAGUAAGCAUGUUUAGGUGUUGAAUUUGAAUGAAGAACAAACACUCUAUACUUCUGACAUACAGUACAUUGUUCCAAAUAAUGAAAUUACUGAUCUCCACACUGCCAGAAAGGAUAUCCAAAAAUUAUCAACUACAUUCAUUGUGAGUAUUUUAAUUCGUGUGAGUUGGUUGGUGCGAGGCCAGGGAGUAUCCAUUUGAGGUAGAAUGACUAAUCGUACUUCGAAGAAACAAUUGGCAUACUUCGAGAAUUGGGACAAGGUUCGUCAAGUGUCUAGCAAUAUCAUUGCACGAUAGCCGGGAUUUCGGAAUCAUCUUAGUGAUAUUUGUUCCUGGAUUAAUUCAUUACAUCAUUGUUCUUUAGUCAAUAUUACAAUGUUAAUGUAAAUAGUUCGAUUGUAUGUACAAUAUUUACUAUAAUAGUGCUCUAAACUAAUAAAUUGAUAAAUUAUUAUUAUUAUAUUUAUAAUCAA
Molecule: long non-coding RNA, 1805 nt
Organism: Anneissia japonica
Lineage: Eukaryota; Metazoa; Echinodermata; Crinoidea; Comatulida; Comatulidae
Exons: 2
Source: RefSeq, a predicted model, not a curated record